Molecule: ribosomal RNA, 372 nt
Filed under: uncultured organism
Description: bacterial SSU rRNA
Rfam family: Bacterial small subunit ribosomal RNA
Source: RNAcentral
CAGAGGUCUCAAGCGUUGUUCGGAAUUAUUGGGCGUAAAGGGUGCGUAGGCGGCAGGGUAAGUUAGAUGUGAAAUACCGGUGCUUAACAUCGGAAUUGCAUUUAAGACUGCCUUGCUUGAGCAUUAGAGAGGAGACUGGAAUUUACGGUGUAGCAGUGAAAUGCGUAGAUAUCGUAAGGAAGACCAGUGGCGAAAGCGAGUCUCUGGCUAAAUGCUGACGCUGAGGCACGAAAGCUGGGGGAGCAAACGGGAUUAGAUACCCCGGUAGUCCCAGCAGUAAACGGUGCGCGUUUGGUGUGAGCAGGUUCGACCCUGUUCGCGCCGGAGCUAACGCGUUAAACGCGCCGCCUGGGAAGUACGAUCGCAAGAUUA